GUGGGUAUAGCUCAGCGGUAGAGCAUGUACUUAGCAUGUACGAGGUCCUGGGUUCAUUUCCCAGUACCUCCA
Molecule: transfer RNA, 72 nt
Filed under: Camelus bactrianus (Bactrian camel)
Lineage: Eukaryota; Metazoa; Chordata; Mammalia; Artiodactyla; Camelidae
Also listed under: 2 other names
Rfam family: tRNA
About the family: Transfer RNA (tRNA) molecules are approximately 80 nucleotides in length. Their secondary structure includes four short double-helical elements and three loops (D, anti-codon, and T loops). Further hydrogen bonds mediate the characteristic L-shaped molecular structure. tRNAs have two regions of fundamental functional importance: the anti-codon, which is responsible for specific mRNA codon recognition, and the 3' end, to which the tRNAs corresponding amino acid is attached (by aminoacyl-tRNA synthetases). tRNAs cope with the degeneracy of the genetic code in two manners: having more than one tRNA (with a specific anti-codon) for a particular amino acid; and 'wobble' base-pairing, i.e. permitting non-standard base-pairing at the 3rd anti-codon position.
Source: Rfam by way of RNAcentral